Molecule: unclassified non-coding RNA, 354 nt
Filed under: soil metagenome
Description: partial contains 5.8S ribosomal RNA, internal transcribed spacer 2, and large subunit ribosomal RNA
Rfam family: 5.8S ribosomal RNA (bases 1-120)
Source: RNAcentral
GAUGAAGAACGUAGCGAAAUGCGAUAAGUAAUGUGAAUUGCAGAAUUCAGUGAAUCAUCGAAUCUUUGAACGCACAUUGCGCCCGCCAGUAUUCUGGCGGGCAUGCCUGUUCGAGCGUCAUUACAACCCUCAGGCCCCCGGGCCUGGCGUUGGGGAUCGGCGGAGCCCCCCGUGGGCACACGCCGUCCCCCAAAUACAGUGGCGGUCCCGCCGCAGCUUCCAUCGCGUAGUAGCUAACACCUCGCAACAGGAGCCCGGCGCGGUCCACUGCCGUAAAACCCCCCAACUUUUUAUAGUUGACCUCGAAUCAGGUAGGACUACCCGCUGAACUUAAGCAUAUCAAUAAGCGGAGGA